RNAcentral lists this ribosomal RNA (254 nucleotides) under uncultured bacterium. Its description in RNAcentral is "partial 16S ribosomal RNA". It matches the Rfam family "Bacterial small subunit ribosomal RNA", at positions 524 to 776 of the family's 1533-position model. The record is from RNAcentral.
GACAGAGGUGCCGAGCGUUAGGCGGAAUCACUGGGCUUAAAGCGUGUGUAGGCGGACGGGUAAGUACCUUGUGAAAUCCCACGGCUCAACCGUGGAACUGCUGGGUAUACUGCCUGUCUUGAGUCAUCUAGGGGCGAGCGGAACAAAUGGUGGAGCGGUGAAAUGCGUAGAUAUCAUUUGGAACGCCAAUGGUGAAAACAGCUCGCUGGGGAUGAUACUGACGCUGAGACACGAAAGCCAGGGGAGCAAACGGG